AUCGCAUUUCUUAGUUAAAAGAUUAAUCCAUGCAAGUGUCUGGCAUUAUAUAAGUAAUGCCUGCAGAUGGCUCAUUAAAACAGAGAUAAUCGAACCUCGGAGACAUACGGAUAACUAUGCUAAUUGUGUGGCUAAUACGGGAUAUCAUCAUAUGAUUGCCCCUAUUAUUUAUGCGCUAUUAACUCGAUUGUAUAUAGGGUGUGUAGACAUUUGUCUAUUGAGGACGAGUCUCUGAUCUAUCAGCUGUGGACGGUUGUGUAUUGGACAACCGUGGCUUUGACGGAUAACGGGGAAUUAGGGUUCGGUUCCGGAGAGAACGCAUGAGAAUCGGCGUUCACAGCUAAGGUUGGCAGCAGGAGCGAAAACUUUUCGAAUAGGCAUCGCCUGAAAAGGUGACUAUCGGUAUCGACAACUACUUUUAGUAAUUGAUUGGAAUGAGAGACUAUUAGAAUUGGUCUUGAGUAGCAAGUUCAGGGCAAGUCUGGUGCCAGCAGCCGCGGUAAUACCAGCUGAGCUAGAUAUGGGUAACAUUGUUGCAGUAAAAACGUACGUAGUCACUGCCAUCCAUUUUACAGAUCCUUGUGAUGUUGUGAUGGGAUACAAGUUCCUUUUUUUGGAGCAAAAUCCGCGAUUAAACUAGAACGAUAAACUUGAAUGUUGAAUAUGACAGCGUGGGAAUCUUUUUGAUGCCAGUUACUGAGAUGCAAUCUUAGUGAUAGGGAUAUACUGUAAGAAUGAAUGAGGGCAUCAGUACUUAAUAGCUAGAGGUGAAAUUCCUAGAUUUGUUAAUGACUAGCUACCGCGAAAGCAUUUGCCUAAUCCAUUUUUGGUGAUCAAGUACUAAAGAGUGGGGAUCGAAGAGGAUUAGAUACCCUCGUAGUCCACUCCCUAAACGAUGCCAACUAGAGGUUGGUCUACGUAUUAUAAACUUUAUCAGAACCUUAGCAGAUAUGAAAGUCUUUGGGCUCUGGGGGGAGUACGGUCGCAAGGUCGAAACUUAAAGGAAUUGACGAAACGGCACCACCAGGGGUGGAGCGUGCGGCUUAAUUUGACUCAACGCGGGAAACCUUACUAAGGUAAGACAUUGUUAUGAUUGACAGAUUACUUGAUCUUUCUUGAUUUGGUGGGUGGUGGUGCAUGGCCGAUCUUAGUUGGUGGGGUGACCCGUCUGGUUAAUUUCGAUAACGAACGAGAUCCGAGCUGCUUAGUUGGCAAGAUUUGCUUUGCAUAUUUCAGCCUCCUAUGCGGACUGUCAGUUUCAGGCUGAAGGAAGUUUCGGGCUAAAUCAGGUCUGUGAUGCCCUUAGACACUUUAGGCGGCACGCGCGCUACAAUGGAUGGUAGAACGUGUCACGAUCUUUUAGGAAAAGGUGUGAAACACGAAUACUCUCCGUGAAUGGGAUAGUUUGUUGCAAUUUUCGGACUUAAACUAGGAAUCCCUUGUAAACAUGCUCGAGAAUAGCGUGUUGAAUACGUCCCUGCCGUUUGUACACACCGCCCGUCGUUUCUUCCAACUGAUACUCAUUGUGAGUUGCAAGGAUUCAUUUUUGAAGAAUUGCUGCGAACGCUUUGUAUUGGAGGAAGAAAAAGUCGUAACAAGGUUAUCGUAGGUGAACCUGCGAUAGGAUCAUUA
This 1632-nucleotide ribosomal RNA is filed under the name Cephaloidophora cf. communis. RNAcentral's name for it is "bacterial SSU rRNA". It matches the Rfam family "Eukaryotic small subunit ribosomal RNA". The record is from RNAcentral. Lineage: Eukaryota; Apicomplexa; Conoidasida; Eugregarinorida; Cephaloidophoridae.